RNAcentral lists this ribosomal RNA (484 nucleotides) under uncultured bacterium. RNAcentral describes it as "partial 16S ribosomal RNA". It matches the Rfam family "Bacterial small subunit ribosomal RNA", at positions 28 to 507 of the family's 1533-position model. The record is from RNAcentral.
GAUGAACGCUGGCGGCGGGCCUAAUACAUGCAAGUCGAGCGGACGGAGGGGAAGCGCGCUUGUCUGCUGUGAGGGGCGGGCGGGUGAGGAAUAGGAAGCUGACCGACCGAGAGGGAUGACGUACGGAAGGGGGCGCUAAUCUAGUACAGGUCAUGAGGGUGAACGUGGGGGUUCAUAGGACAACACGCUAUUAGAUGUGCCUAGGGCGGAUUAGCUAGUUGGUAGGGUAAAGGCCUACCAAGGCGACGAUCCGUAGCAGGUCUGAGAGGAUGAUCGGUCACACUGGAACUGAGACACGGUCCAGACUCCUACGGGAGGCAGCAGUAGGGAAUAUUCGACAAUGGGCGAAAGCCUGACGCAGCCACGCCGCGUGAGUGAUGAAGGUCUUCGGAUCGUAAAACUCUGUUAUUAGGGAGGAAGAUCAGUAUGAGUAUAUCUGGCUAUCUUGACGUUACCAACACAGAAAGCACCGGCUAACUACGUG